Molecule: ribosomal RNA, 620 nt
Filed under: uncultured bacterium
Lineage: Bacteria
Description: bacterial SSU rRNA
Rfam family: Bacterial small subunit ribosomal RNA
Source: RNAcentral
GGAAAGAAAAGCCGCCGGAUAAUACCCGGCGGUCUUGACGGUACCGGCAGAAUAAGCACCGGCUAACUACGUGCCAGCAGCCGCGGUAAUACGUAGGGUGCGAGCGUUAAUCGGAAUUACUGGGCGUAAAGCGUGCGCAGGCGGUUUGUUAAGUCCGCUGUGAAAGCCCCGGGCUCAACCUGGGAAUGGCGGUGGAAACUGGCGAGCUAGAGUGUGUCAGAGGGGGGUGGAAUUCCACGUGUAGCAGUGAAAUGCGUAGAGAUGUGGAGGAACACCGAUGGCGAAGGCAGCCCCCUGGGAUAACACUGACGCUCAGGCACGAAAGCGUGGGGAGCAAACAGGAUUAGAUACCCUGGUAGUCCACGCCCUAAACGAUGUCAACUAGGUGUUGGGGAAGCAAUUCCUUGGUACCGCAGCUAACGCGUGAAGUUGACCGCCUGGGGAGUACGGUCGCAAGAUUAAAACUCAAAGGAAUUGACGGGGACCCGCACAAGCGGUGGAUGAUGUGGAUUAAUUCGAUGCAACGCGAANAACCUUACCUACCCUUGACAUGGUUGGAACCCUGCAGAGAUGCGGGGGUGCCCGAAAGGGAGCCAACACACAGGUGCUGCAUGGCUGUC